CCUACGGGAGGCAGCAGUGAGGAAUAUUGGUCAAUGGGCGGAAGCCUGAACCAGCCAAGUAGCGUGCGGGAUGAAGGCCCUACGGGUCGUAAACCGCUUUUGCACGGGGAUAACACCCUCCACAUGAGGAGGUCUGCAGGUACCGUGCGAAUAAGGGCAGGCUAGUUCCGUGCCAGCAGCCGCGGUAAGACGGAAGGCCCGAGCGUUAUCCGGAUUCAUUGGGCUUACGGGGAGCGUAGACGGGCGUGCAAGUCAUCUGUAAAAUCGCGCGGCUCACCCGCGCCCCGCAGUUGAAACUGGACGCCUUGAGUUCACAACAGGCAGGCGGCAUUCGUGGUGUAGCGGU
Molecule: ribosomal RNA, 346 nt
Filed under: uncultured bacterium
Lineage: Bacteria
Description: partial 16S ribosomal RNA
Rfam family: Bacterial small subunit ribosomal RNA
Source: RNAcentral